GGCGGGAGUCUGUCUGAAUAGAACACCCUUUAGGGGGAAUAGGACAGGCAGUUCCUUUAGCUGUUUUCGAGACUCCCGCCUGCUUCGG
This 88-nucleotide non-coding RNA is filed under the name Lasius niger. RNAcentral's name for it is "sRNA-Xcc1". It matches the Rfam family "sRNA-Xcc1". Lineage: Eukaryota; Metazoa; Arthropoda; Insecta; Hymenoptera; Formicidae. The record is from Rfam by way of RNAcentral.